AUUAUAAUCUUAAUUGACAACUAAUAGUGUUUGGCGAAAGGUGCUUUAUUAUAAUAAUGCAAUAAUAUACAAUUAUACCAAACAUGGUAUCAAUAAGCAACAAUGAACAAGUGUGAAUAUGAAGCACCUUAACCCAAUCUGGGUAAGAUUAAAUAUAAAUUAUAAGGAAGGAAAAAAAAAAUCAAAUACAUAAUAAAAUGUGGCUGGAACAUGCUCUUUGCUAAAACCACAUGCUAACUAAGCAUCGGAUGACGCAACAAGGGGAGGCAAAUCUAGUACACGGCGUUAUCAAUUAGGUACAAUGAGAGUAGCCUCCCAUUGUACGCAAUUGACAACUAAUAGUGUUUGGCGAAAGGUGCUUUAUUAUAAUAAUGCAAUAAUAUACAGUUAUACCAAACAUGGUAUCAAUAAGCAACAAUGAACAAGUGUCAAUAUGAAGCACCUUAACCCAAACGAAGUCGCCAAACAGGAAAGAAAAAGAAAAAAAAAAGAAAAUAACAUGUGUGUAAUCAUGAUCCUGUUUAGUCUGACAAUUCAAUAGAAGAAGGAUACCCUUCAUACAGCUUGACAUUGUACAUGAUAAUAAUUUCGCUAAACAAGCAAAUGACAAAUAUGUAAAACUAAAAUUUCAUCAACAACAUUGUAAUUUAUGUGUAAUUCAUGUAAUUAUUAUCUUUGACAACAGUGUCAAAAUCAGUGCUACAUCAUGCAUAAUAAAGGCAUUAAAAAAAAUAUAGAUAAUUUCAGUCAUAAAUAGACACCCUUGUAAAUACAGCGGAGGGAAAGGGGGGACUUCUACACUACACAAUCAUGGCACUAGUGAUCACACUAUUAAACACUACUUAGUCUAGGUGAACUUAUAACUCGCUUAUAAUGCAAGGAACAAAAACAAAUAAUAAUAAUAUUACUAAACAUAUCUGCCUCAAAGAUGUUCUAAACGAACUUGGGGAUAAUCAUACACAGUAACACGCCCGCAUCUGCAGGGGAAUAUUAUCUCUUAAAAAAAAUUAAUCAAAUACAUAAUAAAAUGUGACUGGAACAUGCUCUUUGCUAAAACCACAUGCUAACUAAGCAUCGGAUGACGCAACAAGGGGAG
This 1096-nucleotide long non-coding RNA is filed under the name Mytilus galloprovincialis (Mediterranean mussel). The record is from RNAcentral. Lineage: Eukaryota; Metazoa; Mollusca; Bivalvia; Mytilida; Mytilidae.